GUUUCAAUUCCCGCCUGCUCCUCCUCAAUGGAAGCUCCGUAUAUGACACGUAUGAGCAUAAGAAUGGUGUCAAACCUGCCCAGGAUACCAGAAAUUUCUGUGAAUUUGGAUGAUGAGGAUUAACCAGAGUGUUUCUCUUCACCCCACAACACCUGCUCCUGAAAAGGAAGCAUUUGUUCCUUGCAUGCAAAUCAUUUUGUAUUAAAGAGGCAUCUAAUGAGCAUCGGAUGAAAGUCCCCUGGAGCAGGUUGCAUUUCCUUCUUCUUGAAGUACAACCACAGUAUUUCAUUCUCGGAAAGUAGGCCCUGGCACAUUCCAAAAAGAGUUCAGUCCCUCUCAGUCCCGCAACCUUGCCCUCUCCGAAGAGAGAGCAGGCAUGGUGACAGCCUUCCGCAAGAUCUCGCCUUCCCUCUCCUGCUCCUCUUCCUCCUCCUGCUGCUUCACUCCCUCCAGGAAGCCUUCCCUUCUGGGCCCGGACCUUUACUCUCUCCUUCCUCUGACUCCCCAGAGCACUUUAUGAAACCUCUAUUAUAACGCAGCAUUCCGUGUAUUCAGAGAAUUGGUGUCCUCGCUCCACUCCUGAGCCAGACACUGAGAUCAAGGAGGGAGGGACUGAGUCACUGUACCGUUACACCCCGUGGAGCCCAG
RNAcentral lists this long non-coding RNA (648 nucleotides) under Equus caballus (horse). Its description in RNAcentral is "lncRNA (ENSECAG00000041509.2)". Lineage: Eukaryota; Metazoa; Chordata; Mammalia; Perissodactyla; Equidae. The record is from RNAcentral.